Molecule: ribosomal RNA, 390 nt
Filed under: uncultured bacterium
Lineage: Bacteria
Description: bacterial SSU rRNA
Rfam family: Bacterial small subunit ribosomal RNA
Source: RNAcentral
AUUGAACGCUGGCGGAAUGCUUUACACAUGCAAGUCGAACGGCAGCACGGGGCAACCUGGUGGCGAGUGGCGAACGGGUGAGUAAUACAUCGGAACGUGCCCAAUCGUGGGGGAUAACGCAGCGAAAGUUACGCUAAUACCGCAUACGAUCUACGGAUGAAAGCGGGGGAUCGCAAGACCUCGCGCGAAUGGAGCGGCCGAUGUCAGAUUAGGUAGUUGGUGGGGUAAAGGCUCACCAAGCCGACGAUCUGUAGCUGGUCUGAGAGGACGACCAGCCACACUGGGACUGAGACACGGCCCAGACUCCUACGGGAGGCAGCAGUGGGGAAUUUUGGACAAUGGGCGCAAGCCUGAUCCAGCCAUUCCGCGUGCAGGAUGAAGGCCUCGGUU